Molecule: ribosomal RNA, 483 nt
Filed under: uncultured bacterium
Lineage: Bacteria
Description: partial 16S ribosomal RNA
Rfam family: Bacterial small subunit ribosomal RNA
Source: RNAcentral
UUGAACGCUGGCGGCAGGCCUAACACAUGCAAGUCGAGCGGAUGAAGGGAGCUUGCUCCUGGAUUCAGCGGCGGACGGGUGAGUAAUGCCUAGGAAUCUGCCUGGUAGUGGGGGAUAACGUCCGGAAACGGGCGCUAAUACCGCAUACGUCCUGAGGGAGAAAGUGGGGGAUCUUCGGACCUCACGCUAUCAGAUGAGCCUAGGUCGGAUUAGCUAGUUGGUGGGGUAAAGGCCUACCAAGGCGACGAUCCGUAACUGGUCUGAGAGGAUGAUCAGUCACACUGGAACUGAGACACGGUCCAGACUCCUACGGGAGGCUGCAGUGGGGAAUAUUGGACAAUGGGCGAAAGCCUGAUCCAGCCAUGCCGCGUGUGUGAAGAAGGUCUUCGGAUUGUAAAGCACUUUAAGUUGGGAGGAAGGGCAGUAAGUUAAUACCUUGCUGUUUUGACGUUACCAACAGAAUAAGCACCGGCUAACUUCGUG